This is a long non-coding RNA of Drosophila virilis, 626 nucleotides long. RefSeq lists it as uncharacterized. Lineage: Eukaryota; Metazoa; Arthropoda; Insecta; Diptera; Drosophilidae. The record is from RefSeq and is a predicted model, not a curated record.
AAGUUGGCAUCCCCUAACAUAGCGGCACUUUUGCAUUCCAUGCUUAUAUCAAAUAAGUUUUUUUAUUUGUAGUUCUGUACAUCACACAACUGCUCAAUUGGGCCAUAUAUGUACAUCAUGCACAGCAACCGCCUGUCGCCACUGGUCUACGAUCGGGAAACGAAUACAACGGUUGUCGAUGAUGUGACCACGGCUGCCGCCGAUGAUAAACAGCACUCGUAGAAGAGUGCCGAUCCGCUUAGUGCGCUGCUAAUAGCCUGUGCGCUUAGUUUAUUGAUUAGCUUAAUACACUCGCAGAUUGUUGCAACAAAUACGUCGCCGAGCGACAGCAACAAGAACAAAUUGCGUCUCAUUUCCAUGUGCGCUUUUGGCGAGAAACCGAAUAGGCCUAGAGAGCAUCGAUUGCGGCGACGCAAAACCCAGCAGCAAUCAUUUAUUGAGCGCACGACGUAGCAAACCGACUCAGAUUUAAUGCCCUACAAGGCUACGAGUGCAUCGAUUCGCUGGGCAUGACCAAGGAUUACAUUUACAUAGGCCUCGUCUGUACAUAUAUAUAUAUAUAUAUAUAUGUUUGUUUUAUUUAUAAAUAAAAUUGCAUACUGGUCGCAAAUGGUUAAAUUUUAAAA